GCUCCCCUCCCAGCCUCGCCUGAGCCCUCCGGGGCCUGCGCCGGCCAGCGCCUGCCCUAUGAGCGGUUGUCAUCCACUCGGAGCUCCCAGAACACUCGCGGGCCCCCGCCGACUUCAGCUUCAGCGUAGAUGGGUGUGUGAGCCUUUUACAAACCGGGAAACUGAAGCCCUGGGAUUAAGCGCCUUGCCCAGGAUCAUCUGCCAGAUGGAAUUCUACCUCAGAGAGCUGGACUUGAUCUGAGCUCUUCAUUCCCAGUCACACAGCCUCCUCAGGGGGAAUGCAGUCAGAGAAAUGUCUGAAGAGGAGAUCCAAAAGAAGACACUGGCUUCAGCUGUAGCCUGUUUAGAAGGGAAGUCACCAGGGGAGAAAGCAGCAAUCAUACAUCAGCAUCUUGGUCAUCGAGAAAUGACAGAUGCGAUCAUUGAGACCAGGAAGGCCAACCCAGAUAAUUAUGUCCACUGACUGGUUGCAAGUAAAACAGAUGAUGGAAAACUAGUACAGUAUGAGGAUGAUACUUGCCCAAUGGAGAAAAUAGACACCUUACAGUUAAAGUUUCUGAAAGAUGAGCUGAAAGCUGCAAUGGAAGAAAGUCUUCAGAAGCUUCCCCCAUUGCACCAAGAAGUAAAGAUCAAAGUAAAGAAGGUGUAAACGCUGUUCCUGAUUCUCCAUCCAGGCAGCUUCCAGACCAGAUUUCCUUCUAAAGUGGAAACCUCUCAGUUGAAAUAGUUCACAGUAUUAUGCAUCUAUUCAAGACAAGAACCUUUGGAUUUAUCUAAUAUGUGGCCACAUAGGAUGUGGACAAUAUGUGAGUCAACAUGCCUAUAAGCAUUUAGAGGAGACCCAACACACGUAUGCCAUGCAGCCCACCAACCAUCGAGUCUGGGACUACACUGGAGGUGAACACCACUCUUAUUUUCUAAUUUGGAUUCAUUCUGUCUGAAAACAUCUCCAUCAGAACUUUCUCUCAACCUUCUCACAGCUUGAAAUCUUCCUGACAGCUGUGGCAAACUCCAGUUCUCAUGGUGCCCCAUAGGGUGCUAUUUCCUGUGAAUGGCCUGCAUUACACAGGAUAAAGAGAGUUAAUGCUUACACUCCUGCCCUCUCAUUUUUUUUUUAAUCCAAAUCAUUUAAACCACUUUCUAAAGAAAUAUUGCAUGGCAUUUAAUUUGGAUCUGUAAAAACAGAAAUUUUGUUGAAGUUAAAGGCAUAAUUAUGGAGACUUUUCAUUCUGAAGAAACACAUCUUGGUUGACCCAUUCUUUUCUUUAGAUAAUUAUUUCUGUUGACUGGUUUCAAGUAAAACAGAUGGAAAAAUAGUACAGUGUGAAUGUGAGGGUGACACUUGGCAGGAGGAGAAAAUAGAUGCCUUACAGUUAGAGGUAAGAUAUUUUAUUAGUAAUUACUAAAUAACCUAUGUCUACUGCUUUUUACUAUUCUAAGUUGGAAGGUUGUUUGGGCUUUUAAUUUUGCCAUUUGCCCUGCAUGUUAGCUUUUGUUUUUAAGAUCUAUGUUGCUCUGAAGGAUUAUUAAAAUAUUUUUAUUCCGUCUCAUUUUCAGCUUUGAAAGUCUGGGUUUCACUGAGUCGUAUUACUUCCAGUGUCACGUUCCUAGUUGUCUCAGGUUCAGGAUUAGGGUUGUCCUCUGUAGCUGUGAUAAAACUGGAGAUAAGAAUCUUCCUGUCGGCAUCACAGUAGCAGUUGGAAAUUGAGCAAACUUGGUCAGGAUAAGGAACCUCCAAAGCAUCUUUCCAUGCCAAGAAGCUUUUUCACAUACACUGGGCUGGAGCUUAUGAACUGGACCCUUACACAGAUGAAGUCAUGUAGGGGUAUUCAUGUAAUUAAACACAAAAUUAGCACAGUC
Odocoileus virginianus texanus is the source of this 1860-nucleotide non-coding RNA. The record is from RefSeq and is a predicted model, not a curated record. Lineage: Eukaryota; Metazoa; Chordata; Mammalia; Artiodactyla; Cervidae.